AGCGAACGCUGGCGGCGUGCCUAACACAUGCAAGUCGAACGUGAAAGGGAGCAAUCCCACGUAAAGUGGCGUACGGGUGAGUAACACGUAGGUAAUCUACCCCAGAAUCUGGAAUAACCAGCCGAAAGGCUGGCUAAUACUGGAUAGAGCGACGGAAUCCGUAAUUGGGUUUUUCGGGAAAGGGAGCCUGUAAAAAGGCCUUCGUUCUGGGAUGAGCCUGCGUCCCAUCAGCUAGUUGGUGAGGUAAAAGCUUACCAAGGCAAUGACGGGUAGCUGGUCUGAGAGGACGAUCAGCCACACUGGAACUGAAACACGGUCCAGACUCCUACGGGAGGCAGCAGUGGGGAAUCUUGCGCAAUGGACGAAAGUCUGACGCAGCAACGCCGCGUGAGUGAAGAAGGCCUUCGGGUUGUAAAGCUCUGUCGAGUGGGACGAAAAUGCUUGGAGUUCACAGCUCCAGGAACUGACGGUACCACUAAAGGAAGCACCGGCUAACUCCGUG
RNAcentral lists this ribosomal RNA (502 nucleotides) under uncultured bacterium. RNAcentral describes it as "partial 16S ribosomal RNA". It matches the Rfam family "Bacterial small subunit ribosomal RNA", at positions 29 to 507 of the family's 1533-position model. The record is from RNAcentral.